Molecule: ribosomal RNA, 432 nt
Filed under: uncultured bacterium
Lineage: Bacteria
Description: partial 16S ribosomal RNA
Rfam family: Bacterial small subunit ribosomal RNA
Source: RNAcentral
GAUGAACGCUGGCGGUAUGCUUAACACAUGCAAGUCGAACGGUACCUUCGGGUAUAGUGGCGGACGGGUGAGUAACGCGUGAGAAUCUAUCUUCAGGUCGGGGACAACAGUUAGAAAUGACUGCUAAUACCGGAUGUGCCGAAAGGUAAAAGAUUUAUUGCCUGAAAAAGAGCUCGCGUCAGAUUAGCUAGUAGGUGGUGUAAGAGACUACCUAGGCUUCGAUCUGUAGCUGGUCUGAGAGGACGAUCAGCCACACUGGAACUGAGACACGGUCCAGACUCCUACGGGAGGCAGCAGUGGGGAAUUUUCCGCAAUGGGCGAAAGCCUGACGGAGCAAUACCGCGUGAGGGACGAAGGCUCUUGGGUCGUAAACCUCUUUUCUCAAGGAAGAUUCAGACGGUACUUGAGGAAUAAGCAUCGGCCAACUCUGUG